CCUAACUAUAAGAUUUGUCAAAAAGGAAGGUUUUAAGCCUGGUCUUAAAAAUAGAGAGCGUGUCUGCCUCCCAAACCCAAACUAGGAGCUGGUUCCACAGGAGAGGAGCCUGAUAACUGAAGGCUCUGCCUCCCAUUCUACUUUUAGAAAUUCUGGGAACCACAAAUAAGCCUGCAGUCUGAGAGUGAAGAUGUUAGGCUGGCUGCUGCCAGGCCCAGAUAGUGCUCCUCCCUCUCUCCGCCUUGUUUUCCUUCUCAGGUUGGAUCAGCGGCAGCAGCAGGUGUUCCUCAUCUGUGAUCAUCAUCAGCUGGUCCAGGAGCAGCUGAGGAGCUGCCAAUCAAGCCCUUCAUCACUACAGUAUAAGCAGACGCCACUCACCUCUCAGUGGCGGAUUGUGACAUAGCCAGUAACCACAUACUGCUUGUUCCUCAAGCCUCAGUUUCUUCUGGAGACUCUUUAGUAAUCCUGUUUGUCCUCCUUCGUUCGUUUCAGUUUGGGUCCAACUGCUUCUGCUUCGUUCCCUCUGUGUUCCGCCUCCACCUCCAGUUCCAGUUCCGAGCCUGGAUUCUCUCACCUGAGCUGUUUUCCUCACACCUGGCGUCCAUCUUCAGUAACCUGCCAUUCUUCAUCUGAGCUCCAAGCGAGCAGCCAAGAACUACCUGCCAGACACGCUAGAUCCCAGUCCGAGCAUCUCGCUUAUGUUUCUUCGUGAGUUACAGUUUAGUUUAGUUGUUUAUUCUUCCUAGUGUUAUUGUUUGGUACAUUUGUAGAAUCAGCAGUUUCAGUGAUUUUUCUGAGCUUAACGUGAUUAGCUUCGCUUUGAGUUUUGUGUGGGUUCUGUUAUCAUAAUAUUUAGAGUUUGAACUUUAUUGCCUGGGUGUUACCCACCGUGAGUCAGUGCUAGUUUGUUGGUCAUCCUCGCCUCUAGUGGUCACUCGUACUUACCUGAGCUUAAUGAUUUGUUUCUGCCUCGAGUGUUUCCUGUUGUAGUUCCUACACUGUAACAAAUUGCAGUAAAAAUACUGCAUAUUUUGUACAGUAAUAUCCGUUCUUUGUAAAUACAGCUGAAUGCUGUAAAUAUAUACGUUUUUAAAGAACAAAAUAUUAACAACAAGCUACUGUACAAUCUUACAGCAGAUUACAGUAUUUUUCUGGUUUGGGUUGAUUUGAGUGUGACUGUUGCUGCAGUCCGACCGUUACUCGUCUCGGCAAAUCUUCCUGCACAUCACCACAUUUAGCAAACAGUCAACACAAAGAAGUGACUAAAUAGGUUUAAAAGAGUAUGUAUCAGUGAUUUUACUCAUUACUGGGGGAAGACCUGGGAGAAAAGGAAGAACUGAGGACGACAAUUUUCGGCCCUCAGACCUGCAGGGAUCACCUGUAGCUGAUCCAUCCUGCUCCGGUGGUUCACUUAACAAGGGUCUUUCUUGGUAUCAACCCUGAGAGGGGAACAAAGGCCAGUCAGGAGAAGGUGAUGUUCAAGAGGUCAGGAAGCUGCUCCAGAAGAAGACAUCUACUGUAAAUCCCCAUGUAGUCACCUUUAUAAAAAGACUCAUGGACUCUGAGUGGGACUUCAUGUAAACCCACAGCACCUGUCCACACAGAACCUCAUUUUGACAAAGCAAAAGCCCCGUCUGCAACCAGAUGUUCAUGUUGUCAUUCUAAGGUAGCAAGUCUCAGUAUUGUGUUGGGUUCAGUAUAAAAUACUUCAGUUCCAAGUUUGUUCCAUGACUUGGUGUUUAUUGAACAUGAUCAAGAGUUAUGAAAGACUGAUUCUGAAGGCCUGAAAUGUGAUAUGCAAUUUUUAAACAGAUUGUUGACAACCUGUUAAACAUCAUUAAUUGUUUUUAUAGAUUUUAUUUUACAAGACUUGAAUUACUUGAAAUUUGUUAGUUGCUGAAUGUGUUCAACCCAAACUCAGUGUACCUGAAGUAGAACAUGCAGAAUGGGAACCUGUUCAGCAUGAGGAAAUGAUUGUAUGUUACUAAAACUGAAUGGGUUAUAUAGGUCAGUUUCUGAACCAUGUUUGAUACAGAGUUGGCCUUAAUAAAAGCUUAAUGUUGAAAAGUCA
Molecule: long non-coding RNA, 2071 nt
Organism: Amphiprion ocellaris (clown anemonefish)
Lineage: Eukaryota; Metazoa; Chordata; Actinopteri; Pomacentridae
Exons: 2
Source: RefSeq, a predicted model, not a curated record